CAAUGGGCGAAAGCCUGAUGGAGCAACGCCGCGUGUGUGAUGAAGGGUUUCGGCUCGUAAAACACUGUUGUAAGAGAAGAAUGACAUUGAGAGUAACUGUUCAAUGUGUGACGGUAUCUUACCAGAAAGGAACGGCUAAAUACGUGCCAGCAGCCGCGGUAAUACGUAUGUUCCAAGCGUUAUCCGGAUUUAUUGGGCGUAAAGCGAGCGCAGACGGUUAUUUAAGUCUGAAGUGAAAGCCCUCAGCUCAACUGAGGAAUUGCUUUGGAAACUGGAUGACUUGAGUGCAGUAGAGGAAAGUGGAACUCCAUGUGUAGCGGUGAAAUGCGUAGAUAUAUGGAAGAACACCAGUGGCGAAGGCGGCUUUCUGGACUGUAACUGACGUUGAGGCUCGAAAGUGUG
Molecule: ribosomal RNA, 402 nt
Filed under: uncultured Weissella sp.
Lineage: Bacteria; Bacillati; Bacillota; Bacilli; Lactobacillales; Lactobacillaceae
Description: bacterial SSU rRNA
Rfam family: Bacterial small subunit ribosomal RNA
Source: RNAcentral